This 472-nucleotide ribosomal RNA is filed under the name uncultured bacterium. Its description in RNAcentral is "bacterial SSU rRNA". It matches the Rfam family "Bacterial small subunit ribosomal RNA", at positions 29 to 477 of the family's 1533-position model. The record is from RNAcentral.
AACGAACGCUGGCGGCGUGGAUUAGGCAUGCAAGUCGAACGAGAAUCUGGAGGUUCAAGUUUUCGGACAAGAACUUUCGGAGGAAAGUGGCGGAAGGGUGAGUACAACAUGGAUAAUCUACCUUCAAGUUGGGUAUAGCUUCCCGAAAGGGGAGAUAAUCCCGAAUGUGGUGAUCCGGCGCCUGUCGGAGAAUCCAAAGGUGGGGACCGCAAGGCCUGCCGCUUGAAGAUGAGUCCGUGCACUAUCAGCUAGUUGGUGAGGUAAUGGCUCACCAAGGCGAUGACGGUUAGCUGGUCUGAGAGGAUGGUCAGCCACACUGGGACUGAGAUACUGCCCAGACUCCUACGGGAGGCUGCAGUCGAGAAUCAUUCGCAAUGGGCGCAAGCCUGACGGUGCGACGUCGCGUGGAGGAUGAAGGUCUUCGGAUUGUAAACUCCUGUCAUGUGGGAUAAUGGCCAGGGCAUGAAUAGUG